This 440-nucleotide ribosomal RNA is filed under the name uncultured bacterium. RNAcentral describes it as "partial 16S ribosomal RNA". It matches the Rfam family "Bacterial small subunit ribosomal RNA", at positions 338 to 795 of the family's 1533-position model. The record is from RNAcentral.
CCUACGGGUGGCAGCAGUGGGGGAUAUUGCACAAUGGGGGAAACCCUGAUGCAGCGACGCCGCGUGUGGGAAGACGGUCCUCUGGAUUGUAAACCACUGUCCCCAGGGACGAAGAUGACGGUACCUUGGGAGGAAGCUCCGGCUAACUACGUGCCAGCAGCCGCGGUAAUACGUAGGGAGCAAGAGUUGUCCGGAAUUACUGGGUGUAAAGGGAGCGUAGGCGGGAUGGCAAGUUGGGUGUUAAAUCUACCGGCUCAACUGGUAGUCGCACUUAAAACUGCUAUUCUUGAGUGAAGUAGAGGCAGGCGGAAUUCCUAGUGUAGCGGUGAAAUGCGUAGAUAUUAGGAGGAACACCAGUGGCGAAGGCAGCCUGCUGGGCUUUUACUGACGCUGAGGCUCGAAAGUGUGGGGAGCAAACAGGAUUAGAUACCCCUGUAGUC